GAGGGUAUAGCUCAGUGGUAGACUGCCUGCCUAGCAUGCAUCCAGGCCCUGGGUUCAAGCCCCAGUACCUCUA
Molecule: transfer RNA, 73 nt
Filed under: Camelus bactrianus (Bactrian camel)
Lineage: Eukaryota; Metazoa; Chordata; Mammalia; Artiodactyla; Camelidae
Also listed under: 2 other names
Rfam family: tRNA
About the family: Transfer RNA (tRNA) molecules are approximately 80 nucleotides in length. Their secondary structure includes four short double-helical elements and three loops (D, anti-codon, and T loops). Further hydrogen bonds mediate the characteristic L-shaped molecular structure. tRNAs have two regions of fundamental functional importance: the anti-codon, which is responsible for specific mRNA codon recognition, and the 3' end, to which the tRNAs corresponding amino acid is attached (by aminoacyl-tRNA synthetases). tRNAs cope with the degeneracy of the genetic code in two manners: having more than one tRNA (with a specific anti-codon) for a particular amino acid; and 'wobble' base-pairing, i.e. permitting non-standard base-pairing at the 3rd anti-codon position.
Source: Rfam by way of RNAcentral